Molecule: ribosomal RNA, 382 nt
Filed under: uncultured bacterium
Lineage: Bacteria
Description: bacterial SSU rRNA
Rfam family: Bacterial small subunit ribosomal RNA
Source: RNAcentral
AUUGAACGCUGGCGGCAUGCCUUACACAUGCAAGUCGAACGGCAGCACGGGAGCAAUCCUGGUGGCGAGUGGCGAACGGGUGAGUAAUAUAUCGGAACGUGCCCAGUCGUGGGGGAUAACGUAGCGAAAGCUACGCUAAUACCGCAUACGAUCUAUGGAUGAAAGCGGGGGAUCGCAAGACCUCGCGCGAUUGGAGCGGCCGAUAUCAGAUUAGGUAGUUGGUGGGGUAAAAGCCUACCAAGCCUUCGAUCUGUAGCUGGUCUGAGAGGACGACCAGCCACACUGGAACUGAGACACGGUCCAGACUCCUACGGGAGGCAGCAGUGGGGAAUUUUGGACAAUGGGCGCAAGCCUGAUCCAGCAAUGCCGCGUGCAGGAUGAA